GACGAACGCUGGCGGCGUGCCUAACACAUGCAAGUCGAGCGGGGACUUGUUGAGGAAGUCUUCGGAUGGAAUCGAUAAGUUCUAGCGGCGGACGGGUGAGUAACGCGUGAGCAACCUGCCCUCCACAGGGGGAUAACGCACCGAAAGGUGCACUAAUACCGCAUAAGACCACGGCACCGACAUGGUGCAGGGGUCAAAGGAGCAAUCCGGUGGAAGAUGGGCUCGCGUCUGAUUAGCUAGUUGGUGAGGUAACGGCCCACCAAGGCGACGAUCAGUAGCCGACCUGAGAGGGUGAUCGGCCACAUUGGAACUGAGAGACGGUCCAAACUCCUACGGGAGGCAGCAGUGGGGAAUAUUGGGCAAUGGGCGAAAGCCUGACCCAGCAACGCCGCGUGAAGGAAGAAGGUUUUCGGAUCGUAAACUUCUAUCCUUGGUGAAGAUAAUGACGGUAGC
This 453-nucleotide ribosomal RNA is filed under the name uncultured bacterium. RNAcentral describes it as "bacterial SSU rRNA". It matches the Rfam family "Bacterial small subunit ribosomal RNA", at positions 28 to 479 of the family's 1533-position model. The record is from RNAcentral.